AGUUCCUAAAUUGAUAGAUAUGAA
RNAcentral lists this non-coding RNA (24 nucleotides) under Arabidopsis thaliana (thale cress). The record is from RNAcentral. Lineage: Eukaryota; Viridiplantae; Streptophyta; Magnoliopsida; Brassicales; Brassicaceae.